This 447-nucleotide ribosomal RNA is filed under the name uncultured bacterium. RNAcentral's name for it is "bacterial SSU rRNA". It matches the Rfam family "Bacterial small subunit ribosomal RNA", at positions 355 to 825 of the family's 1533-position model. The record is from RNAcentral.
UAAGGAAUAUUGGACAAUGGGCGCAAGCCUGAUCCAGCCAUGCCGCGUGAGUGACGAAGGUCUUCGGAUUGUAAAGCUCUUUUGGCGGGGACGAUAAUGACGGUACCCGCAGAAUAAGCCCCGGCUAACUUCGUGCCAGCAGCCGCGGUAAUACGAAGGGGGCUAGCGUUGUUCGGAAUUACUGGGCGUAAAGCGCACGUAGGCGGACUGAUAAGUCAGGGGUGAAAUCCCGGGGCUCAACCUCGGAACUGCCUUUGAUACUGUUAGUCUCGAGUCCGGAAGAGGUGAGUGGAAUUCCUAGUGUAGAGGUGAAAUUCGUAGAUAUUAGGAAGAACACCAGUGGCGAAGGCGGCUCACUGGUCCGGUACUGACGCUGAGGUGCGAAAGCGUGGGAAGCAAACAGGAUUAGAUACCCCCGUAGUCCCUGAGCGGGCUGGCAAGGCGCAU